AUUUAAUUUUAGUUUUAUUAUUAUUUUUUUUAUUAUUUAUUUUAAUUGAAAUAACUUAUUUGUUUAGUAUAUUUUAUUGAAUUUCUUAUUUUAAUUAUAGUUUAUAUGUACUGUGGAGGGUUAAUUGAAAUUUCUUGGAAGUAUAAUUUUUUUUAGUACCUUUUGUAUCAGGGUUUAUUAAAUUUAUAUUAUUUAUUAUAAUUUUCCCGAAGUUAAAAGAGUUAAAUUUAAAUGUAAUUUUAUGUUAUAUAAUAAUUUAUAAUUUAAAUUUAGGGGUUAUAUGCUAUUCAUUUUUAAAUAUCUGGUUUUCUAAUAAAUGAAUUUAAUUCAGGAUUGCUUAGUGUUAUUUUAUUAAUUUAUUUUAUUGUAAUUAAGUAAUUUAAUGUGUUUGGGGAUUAGCUCAAAUGUAUUUUUAUAAUUUUAUUGUAUUUUGGAUGCUGUAGGCUUAAUAAUAGCCAUCAAUGAUUUUGUUAUAAUUCAUUCUAGUAUUGUGGUUUAUUUAUUUUAUUUGUUUAAUUUUUUAUUAGAAUUAUUUAUUUAAUUUUAUAUUUUAUGUAAUAAUGGUAAAAUUAGUAGUAUUGUUAUUUUAUUUAUAGUAAUUCGGCAAAUUUGCUCUUCGCCUGUUUAACAAAAACAUGUCUUAUAGAAUUUAAUUUUAGGUUUGACCUGCUCAAUGAUUAAAAUUAAAUAGCCGCAGUAUAUUAACUGUGCAAAGGUAGCAUAAUCAUUUGUUCUUUAAUUGGGGGCUUGUAUGAAUGGUUGGACGAGAGAGUUACUUUCUUUAUUUAAUUUUAUUAAUUUAAUUUUUUAGUGAAAAAGCUAAAAUUUUGUUGUGGGACGAGAAGACCCUAUAGAAUUUUAUUUAUUAGAAAUUAAUAAUUUUAAUUUUAAUAAUUUAUUUUUGUCUUUUAAAUUUGGUUGGGGUGAUUGUGGAAUUUAAUUAACUUCCAUUAUUUGUUUUUCAUUAAUUAAUGUUAUUUUUGAUCCUUUAUUAUGGAUUAUAAGAUUAAAUUACCUUAGGGAUAACAGCGUAAUUUCUUUGGAGAGUUCUUAUUGAUGAAGGAGUUUGCGACCUCGAUGUUGGAUUAAAGUUAAUUUAAGGUGUAGAAGCUUUAAUGUUAGGUCUGUUCGACCUUUAAAUCUUUACAUGAUCUGAGUUCAAACCGGCGUGAGCCAGGUUGGUUUCUAUCUACAAUUUUUAUUAUGAUAUUUUAGUACGAAAGGACCAUUUAUCAGUAAUAUUUAUUUAUUUAAUGAUUAUUAUU
This 1265-nucleotide ribosomal RNA is filed under the name Chauliops fallax. RNAcentral's name for it is "16S ribosomal RNA". The stretch from base 1022 to 1180 matches the Rfam family "Archaeal large subunit ribosomal RNA", at positions 2542 to 2701 of the family's 2987-position model. Lineage: Eukaryota; Metazoa; Arthropoda; Insecta; Hemiptera; Malcidae. The record is from RNAcentral.